This is a long non-coding RNA of Mus musculus (house mouse), 1053 nucleotides long. RefSeq annotates it as predicted gene, 35875. The record is from RefSeq and is a predicted model, not a curated record. The transcript has 5 exons. Lineage: Eukaryota; Metazoa; Chordata; Mammalia; Rodentia; Muridae.
UUUAACUAAGUUUUAGAAAAUUUCCUCUUAAUUUAUAAAUCAGGUGAGUGAAGUGCCAUUUCUGUCUGCACUAAGUUAAGCUCAUUUCUUUCCUAGGUGGCCUCCUGAUUUAUUUAAAUGGAUCAGUGAGCUCGAAAGUACAUUUCCUGAUCUACUUGAUAUGAAGAAAAAUCUUUUAUCCUGAACAUGGUCAUUAUAUAUUAUGCAAAAGAUGUUAAUGCACCAGAACCAGUAGAAGUUGAGUUCAAUUUACUGCUUUGUAGAAAUCUUCUUUGGUGGCAAAUGUCAUAAGUUUAAAUUAUAGGUCUUCAAGUGAAAAUGCUACUUAACCUUUGUUUAAUUAGAAAAUCAACACAUUGUCAUUGGGAAGAGCCCCCUGCCAUGCCAGGGCUUCAUGCACAUUAGUCAGACCUGUGAUAAUUAUCCAAGGUUAAUACUGAUGGAAUUACAAGUAGCCACAUGGCACACUGAUGAGGGCCACAGUUCAACAUGGGGUGGGUAGUGGUCUGCUGUAGAAUCCCCCUUGCCUGGAGAAUCUUUGCCAAGUACAAUCUUUGCUUUGACAAGAUGGAUGGAUAAGGGCUGAAUUUCUGGUCAGACUAUCUGUAGUCAAAUCUCUUCCUAUCUUUCACUUGGCAUGUGGCCUUAGGUUUCCAGCAUUCUUCUAGGCAACUCUAAUGAGUGGGAAGAAAGGAAGAAAACUAGAGUUGGACGUCUCCAUCCAGGAGAAAGGUCAGGAAGAUGAGUCAAGUUGAGUCCGUAACCCAAGCAGACCAUGUCCUGCAUUCUGGGAAUGGGUAGAAUUUAUGAAGAAACUCAGAUCAGGUCACUAAGGCAUGAUAUAUUAAUGAGGAACUUGAAGGUCAGACUCUAUGAUUGACGAUCCCACACAGAUUGGACAGAUGACUUGGAAGAAUUGAGCUGGAACAGACCUGGAAGUCUCCAUGAAGACUUGCUCUGAUUUACCAAAAGGUGCCAAUGGAAAAAGCAAUCAAUAGUCCAACUUCAAUAAUCCUAUAUGGCUUCAAACUUAUGAACCACAAUGAUAAGCAC